GCUUUUGUAGCUUAAAGGUUGAAGCGAUUCUUUGAAACAGAAUAGAUGUAAGUUCAAAUCUUUCCAAAGGCA
RNAcentral lists this transfer RNA (72 nucleotides) under Candidozyma haemuli. Its description in RNAcentral is "Candida haemulonis tRNA". It matches the Rfam family "tRNA". From Rfam's summary of the family: Transfer RNA (tRNA) molecules are approximately 80 nucleotides in length. Their secondary structure includes four short double-helical elements and three loops (D, anti-codon, and T loops). RNAcentral also lists the same sequence under 2 other names. Lineage: Eukaryota; Fungi; Ascomycota; Pichiomycetes; Serinales; Metschnikowiaceae. The record is from Rfam by way of RNAcentral.